CCUGGCAACGAUAGCGCGGUGGUCCCACCUGACCCCAUGCCGAACUCAGAAGUGAAACGCCGUAGCGCCGAUGGUAGUGUGGGGUCUCC
Molecule: ribosomal RNA, 89 nt
Filed under: Klebsiella michiganensis
Lineage: Bacteria; Pseudomonadati; Pseudomonadota; Gammaproteobacteria; Enterobacterales; Enterobacteriaceae
Also listed under: 1 other name
Source: RNAcentral